Molecule: ribosomal RNA, 1341 nt
Filed under: Parapenaeopsis tenella
Lineage: Eukaryota; Metazoa; Arthropoda; Malacostraca; Decapoda; Penaeidae
Description: 16S ribosomal RNA
Rfam family: Archaeal large subunit ribosomal RNA (bases 636-1341)
Source: RNAcentral
AAAUAAAAUCUUGUUUAAAAUAAAUCGUAAAAGUUAAUUGUAAUAUUAAAAUUAUUUUUAAAUUAUUAAAAUUAAGUAUAAUUGAAUUGAAAUGUUGAAAAUAUACUAUAGUGAAAAGUACUGUAAAGGAAUGAUGAAAUAAAAUGAAAAAAUUAAUUAAAUCAAAGUAAAAAUAAAAAUUUGUACCUUGUGUAUCAGGGAAAAUUUAACUUUUUUCUAGAAAAAAAAAUCCCGAAAAAAAAAGAGUUAAUGUUAAAAUAAAGUUUUCGUAUUAAUGAAAUUUUAAAUUUAAUAUUAGUGGUGAAAUGCCAGCCGAUUUUUUAUAUCUGGUUAUCAGCGAAUUAAAUUUAAUUUGAUUGUUAAUUGAUAAACUUAAUUAAUAGUAAAGAAUAGAAGGGAAGAGCUUUUUAUUCUAAAAUAAAUCUGUUGUAAUUCUUAAAAGUUAAUUUUAAAAUUAAGCUUAAAAGCAGCUAAAUUUGUAAAGCGUUCUAGCUAAUAUAAUAAUUUUUUAUUAUUUUUAUAAAAAUUCAAUAAAGUAGCUGAUAUUUAUAAUUAAUAUAAAAUUAUAAGUUAUAAUAAUUUUAUGAGUAGAAAUAAACUGUGAUAAAAAUAAAAUAAAUUAAAAUUAAUAGUUUUGAAUUUUAAAUAUAUAAUCAAGGAACUCGGCAAAUGUUGUUUUUGCCUGUUUAUCAAAAACAUGUCUAUAUGAUUGAUAUAUAAAGUCUGGCCUGCCCACUGAUUAAAGUUAAAGGGCCGCGGUAUUUUGACCGUGCGAAGGUAGCAUAAUCAUUAGUCUUUUAAUUGAGGGCUUGUAUGAAUGGUUGGACAAAAAAUAAGCUGUCUCGAUUAUAAAAAUUGAAUUUAACUUUUAAGUGAAAAGGCUUAAAUAAUUUAAGGGGACGAUAAGACCCUAUAAAGCUUUACAGUUAUCUAAUUAAAUUGUAAAUUGUUAGUUUAACAUAAUUAAGUUAGUGGUUGUUUCGUUGGGGCGACGGGAAUAUAAUUUGUAACUGUUCUUUUAUAAUUUGUUACAAUGAUUUUUGGUUGAUAAAUGAUCCUUUAUUAAAGAUUAAAAGAUCAAGUUACUUUAGGGAUAACAGCGUAAUCUUCUUUGAAAGUUCAUAUCGACAAGAAGGGUUGCGACCUCGAUGUUGAAUUAAGGUGUCUUUGCGGUGCAGCAGCUGCAAUAAGAAGGUCUGUUCGACCUUUAAUUCCUUACAUGAUUUGAGUUCAGACCGGCGUGAGCCAGGUUGGUUUCUAUCUCUUAACAAUGAAAAAUUGCUUUAGUACGAAAGGAUUAAGUAAUUAAAAUAAUUUUUAAAAUAAAGAUUAACAUUAAUU